UACGUAGGGUGCGAGCGCUGUCCGGAAUUAUUGGGCGUAAAGGGCUCGUAGGCGGUUUGUCGCGUCGGGAGUGAAAACACUGGGCUUAACUCAGUGCUUGCUUUCGAUACGGGCAGACUAGAGGUAUGCAGGGGAGAACGGAAUUCCUGGUGUAGCGGUGAAAUGCGCAGAUAUCAGGAGGAACACCGGUGGCGAAGGCGGUUCUCUGGGCAUUACCUGACGCUGAGGAGCGAAAGUGUGGGGAGCGAACAGG
RNAcentral lists this ribosomal RNA (253 nucleotides) under uncultured bacterium. Its description in RNAcentral is "partial 16S ribosomal RNA". It matches the Rfam family "Bacterial small subunit ribosomal RNA", at positions 524 to 776 of the family's 1533-position model. The record is from RNAcentral.